RNAcentral lists this small RNA (303 nucleotides) under Histoplasma ohiense. RNAcentral's name for it is "hypothetical lncRNA". Lineage: Eukaryota; Fungi; Ascomycota; Eurotiomycetes; Onygenales; Ajellomycetaceae. The record is from RNAcentral.
UUCCUCUUUCCCGGGUUGUUCAGCAUGCAUACCGAGUACUAGUAUUCGCCAACUGACACGGAGGAUUGGAUUGCAGGGGGGUUUCACAUUUUUCACAUGAUAAUAAGAGCAUAAAAAAGACAUCAUUCUGACACCCUUGUAUUAUUGGAUAUACUUGUCCUCAUGCGCCUCCACUGUGGUAGCUGCAGUAUAUAUAUAUGCAUGACCUCGUCUGAUUUUAUUUUAAAUGCCACUUGCUGGGAGUUUGAGAAUUAGUAAAGAAGAGAGAAGUAAAAGAGAAGAAAUUCGAAGUUAUUUUGGUUU